RNAcentral lists this ribosomal RNA (493 nucleotides) under uncultured bacterium. Its description in RNAcentral is "partial 16S ribosomal RNA". It matches the Rfam family "Bacterial small subunit ribosomal RNA", at positions 27 to 507 of the family's 1533-position model. The record is from RNAcentral.
GAGUGAACGCUGGCGGUAGGCCUAACACAUGCAAGUCGAACGGCAGCACAGUAAGAGCUUGCUCUUACGGGUGGCGAGUGGCGGACGGGUGAGGAAUACAUCGGAAUCUACUUUUUCGUGGGGGAUAACGUAGGGAAACUUACGCUAAUACCGCAUACGACCUACGGGUGAAAGCAGGGGAUCUUCGGACCUUGCGCGAUUGAAUGAGCCGAUGUCGGAUUAGCUAGUUGGCGGGGUAAAGGCCCACCAAGGCGACGAUCCGUAGCUGGUCUGAGAGGAUGAUCAGCCACACUGGAACUGAGACACGGUCCAGACUCCUACGGGAGGCAGCAGUGGGGAAUAUUGGACAACGGGCGCAAGCCUGAUCCAGCCAUACCGCGUGGGUGAAGAAGGCCUUCGGGUUGUAAAGCCCUUUUGUUGGGAAAGAAAAGCAGCAGGUUAAUACCCCGCUGUUCUGACGGUACCCAAAGAAUAAGCACCGGCUAACUUCGUG